Molecule: long non-coding RNA, 1268 nt
Organism: Nematostella vectensis (starlet sea anemone)
Lineage: Eukaryota; Metazoa; Cnidaria; Anthozoa; Actiniaria; Edwardsiidae
Exons: 2
Source: RefSeq, a predicted model, not a curated record
UGCUGUAUUUUCAUUUUCCUUGGUAAAUACUGCACUGAUGGUCACGAGAAAUUUGUUUCCUACAGCUAAAAAUGACUACAAAAUAACGAACUUUUAAAAAAUAGUGGCGCGCGCCGGGAAUGGCGUCAUUUUCGAUAUUGCCCGUCAAGCGCGCGCAGACAGUUUGAAAAAUGUAAUACACCUACAAUAACCUUAUUUUCUAGCCAAAGUUGGCAAAAUAGUCCUCGAACUCAAGGCUAAGUUGUAGUCUAAUUAUUCUUCUGGCAAAUCCUCAUCAAAUCUGUGCUUGACAUGUUAUUUUAGUUAGUCAAAAGCUAAGACAACAGGUUCGUGCAAUCCCAGUUAAACAAGAAGGACAGCAAGAUGACGUGAUCAAUUUUCAGAGACCAGUUGAUUCAAGUAGUCUAUAUUCAAGGCUUCAAGUCUAUCGAUUCGCCCCUUAGCAGUGAGGAAGUUUAAAGAAAAUCACGCGCAAGUGCUCAUGGACAGGGUGUCAAACCCCCACCCCCCUAGUACACGAGGAUGGAUGAAAGGGAUCAGUGCGCGUGGCAUCAUGGUACACAAGGAUGGAUGAAAGAGAUCAGUGCGCGUGACAUCAUGGUACACGAGGAUGGAUGAAAGGGAUCAGUGCGCGUGGCAUCAUGGUACACGAGGAUGGAUAAAAGGGAUCAGUGCGCGUGGCAUCAUGGUGCACGAGGAUGGAUGAAAGAGAUCAGUGCGCGUGGCAUCAUGGUACACGAGGAUGGAUGAUAGAGAUCAGUGCGCGUAGCAUCAUGGUGCACGAGGAUGGAUGAAAGGGAUCAGUGCGCGUGGCAUCAUGGUGCACGAGGAUGGAUAAGAGGGAUAAGUGCGCGUAACAUCAUGGUACACGAGGAUGGAUGAAAAGGAUCAGUGCGCAUGGCAUCAUGGUACACAAUGAUCUGGAUGAGAGGGAACAGUGCGCGUGAUGUCAUGGUACACGAGGAUGGAUGAAAGGGAUCAGUGCGCGUGAUAUCAUGGUACACGAGGAUGGAUGAGAGGGAACAGUUCGCGUGAAAUCAUGGUACACGAGGAUGGAUGAAAGGGAUCAGUGCGCUUGACAUCGUGGUCCACGAGGAUGGAUGAAAGGGAUCAGUGCGCGUGGCAUCAUGGUACACGAGGAUGGAUGAAAGGGAUCAGUGCGCGUGGCAUCAUGGUACACGAGGAUGGAUGAAAGGGAUCAGUGCGCGUAACAUCAUGGUACACGAGGAUGGAUGAAAGGGAUCAGUGCGCGUAACAUCAUGGUACAC